RNAcentral lists this ribosomal RNA (185 nucleotides) under uncultured bacterium. Its description in RNAcentral is "partial 16S ribosomal RNA". It matches the Rfam family "Bacterial small subunit ribosomal RNA", at positions 332 to 527 of the family's 1533-position model. The record is from RNAcentral.
AGAGAUCCUACGGGAGGCAGCAGUGGGGAAUAUUGCACAAUGGGCGCAAGCCUGAUGCAGUAACGCCGCGUGAGGGAUGACGGCCUUCGGGUUGUAAACCUCUUUUAGCGGGGAAGAAGCGAAAGUGACGGUACCUGCAGAAAAAGCGCCGGCUAACUACGUGCCAGCAGCCGCGGUAAUAAUCG